This is a long non-coding RNA of Oncorhynchus tshawytscha (Chinook salmon), 1326 nucleotides long. The record is from Ensembl. Lineage: Eukaryota; Metazoa; Chordata; Actinopteri; Salmoniformes; Salmonidae.
CCCUCUCAGUUAUUAUUAUAGCCACAGCCAUUUACCCUCUCAGUUAUUAUUUUAGCCACAGCCAUUUACCCUCUCAGUUAUUAUUUUAGCCACAGCCAUUUACCCUCUCAGUUAUUAUUAUAGCCACAGCCAUUUACCCUCUCAGUUAUUAUUUUAGCCACAGCCAUUUACCCUCUCAGUUAUUAUUAUAGCCACAGCCAUUUACCCUCUCAGUUAUUAUUUUAGCCACAUCCAUUCACUGUCUUAAUUACUAUCCAUAUCAAAGCUGUGGGCUCCGCUCCACUUCACUGACUGUUUUCUGUGCAGCGAGAAUCUCUCGGUUCUGUUAAAUGCUGAUGAGGAACAUGAUUCUGAAACCUGCUGUAAAUACAUGAGCCGAAAUGCAAGUAGAUUCCUAGCCCCUGUGAACGUUAGAUCUGAAAGCAUUGGAUUAGCAGUAUGUUAAACCCUGUAGCGCAUCUUGUCUUUUGAUAGGCUAGCUGGAAUUGUUGCCAUAAUGCUUACUGUCUCUGUGACACCCUUUCAGUUUAGAUCUGUGUACGGACUGUCUGUCUAGGGGAAGUGUGUAGGGUAUAGGGGUUAGGGCUAGGGAUCGAUCUGGGAUUGGUCAAUGAGAUAAGAAUGGACUGAUGCGUUACAAUACUGGACACUUCAGAUGACCAGACCAUGUGACCUGAACUGGACAUCUCUUGUUUUACUCAAAUUUAAAAAUUAAAAAUAAACAUUUAAAAAGAACAUUGACAAAAUGCAAGGAUUCAUACAAAACACACUUUUUAAAAAGACAACUAAUGUACAAAACAUUCUCCAUUACAAAAACCGAGUGAAAUGUUUUAGGAGAGCAGUGCUCGGGUGAAAUGACUAGCCACAUUAUUUACACGUUUGCUUCAUUUUUGUCCAGAUCAUUUAGAACACUACCAGAUCACACCAAUGAAGAAGAAAUGGUUUGGUGGUGGUGACACUGUGAUGAGGUAGAACAUAACUAAAAGACUGUUUGUGCCAUCAUGCUAAUCCCUGUCACUCACAGACACUCAGGAUUCUCCUCACUAUCUGUCUCAACUCAGUCUAUUCUGUCUGAAGUACUACUAGUUGGUAUAUGGCAGACAGAGUCCAUGAUUCAUCUAUUUGUCAAUUUCCAAGCAUUCUCUACGCUAUGGGACUACUUCGCCCAAUGCAGACCGCAGACACACACAGGCGCUGAAGUUAAUCCUGACUGUUCUGUGCGAUAGCUGAACCUGGAAUUUCCUGUGACUGAACACCUUGAGUGUGGAAUAUACUCCCUCUUUCUACCUACCUCCCUCCCUCUCUUUUUCUCCCCCUCCCUCCCUC